This 490-nucleotide ribosomal RNA is filed under the name uncultured bacterium. RNAcentral's name for it is "partial 16S ribosomal RNA". It matches the Rfam family "Bacterial small subunit ribosomal RNA", at positions 30 to 507 of the family's 1533-position model. The record is from RNAcentral.
AUUGAACGCUGGCGGCAGGCCUAACACAUGCAAGUCGAACGGUAACAGGGAUCAGCUUGCUGAUUCGCUGACGAGUGGCGGACGGGUGAGUAAUGUCUGGGAAACUGCCUGAUGGAGGGGGAUAACUACUGGAAACGGUAGCUAAUACCGCAUAACGUUGCAAGACCAAAGAGGGGGACCUUCGGGCCUCUUGCCAUCGGAUGUGCCCAGAUGGGAUUAGCUAGUAGGUGGGGUAACGGCUCACCUAGGCGACGAUCCCUAGCUGGUCUGAGAGGAUGACCAGCCACACUGGAACUGAGACACGGUCCAGACUCCUACGGGAGGCAGCAGUGGGGAAUAUUGCACAAUGGGCGCAAGCCUGAUGCAGCCAUGCCGCGUGUAUGAAGAAGGCCUUCGGGUUGUAAAGUACUUUCAGCGGGGAGGAAGGGAGUAAAGUUAAUACCUUUGCUCAUUGACGUUACCCGCAGAAGAAGCACCGGCUAACUCCGUG